AUACGUAGGUGGCGAGCGUUGUCCGGAAUUAUUGGGCGUAAAGGGAGCGCAGGUGGGAAAGUAAGUCUGUCUUAAAAGUGCGGGGCUCAACCCCGUGAGGGGACAGAAACUAUUUUUCUUGAGUGCAGGAGAGGAAAGCGGAAUUCCUAGUGUAGCGGUGAAAUGCGUAGAUAUUAGGAGGAACACCAGUGGCGAAGGCGGCUUUCUGGACUGUAACUGACACUGAGGCUCGAAAGCCAGGGGAGCGAACGGGAUUAGAUACCCCGGUAGUCCUGGCCGUAAACGAUGGAUACUAGGUGUAGGAGGUAUCGACCCCUUCUGUGCCGGAGUUAACGCAAUAAGUAUCCCGCCUGGGGAGUACGAUCGCAAGAUUGAA
This 376-nucleotide ribosomal RNA is filed under the name uncultured bacterium. RNAcentral's name for it is "bacterial SSU rRNA". It matches the Rfam family "Bacterial small subunit ribosomal RNA", at positions 523 to 898 of the family's 1533-position model. The record is from RNAcentral.